Molecule: ribosomal RNA, 497 nt
Filed under: uncultured bacterium
Lineage: Bacteria
Description: partial 16S ribosomal RNA
Rfam family: Bacterial small subunit ribosomal RNA
Source: RNAcentral
GAUGAACGCUGGCGGCGUGCCUAAUACAUGCAAGUCGAGCGAACGGACGCGACGCUUGUUUCUCUGAUGUUAGCGGCGGACGGGUGUGUCACACGUGUAUACCCUACCUAUCAGUCUGGGAUCACUUCGGGAAACCGGAGCUAAUACCGGAUGAUAUUCUGAACCGCAUGGUUCAAUAGUGAAAGACGGUCUUGCUGUCACUUAUAGAUGGAUCCGCGCUGCAUUAGCUAGUUGGUAAGGUAACGGCUUACCACGGCAACGAUGCAUAGCCGACCUGAGAGGGUGAUCGGCCACACGGGAACUGAGACACGGUCCAUAGGCCUACGGGAGGCAGCAGUAGGGAAUGUUCCGCAAUGGGCGAAAGCCUGACGGAGCGACGCCGCGUGAGUGAUGAAGGUCUUCGGAGCGGAAAACUCUGUUAUUAGGGAAGAACAGAUGUGUAAGGAACUGUGCACAUCGUGACGGUACCUAAUCAGAAAGCCACGGCUAACUACGUG